AUUGAUUCAAACUAUCUAGCUAAACUCCAUCCAUCAACCAAUAUACAAAUUACUCAAACCAAUACAAAAUAAACAGUGAUGAAGACAACAUUGUUAGCUUUUGUCCUUUUCUUUGCCCUGAUCUCACAACCACUUCUGGGAGCUGCUGAAGCUUCACCUGAAGAAGUAGUUGACACAUCAGGCAAGCUGCUACGUGCUGGUGUGAACUACAAUAUUCUUCUGUCCAUGCCCUACACCAAUAGUAGAAGUCCAAAAGGCCUUGGCCUCUCAAAGAUUGGUAAAUCAUGCCCUCUGGAUGUAGUGGUUGUGGACAGAUAUCAUAGUUUGCCACUAAGGUUUAUACCUGUUAACCCGAAAAAGGGUGUUAUACGUGUCUCCACUGACCUAAACAUCAUGUUCCCUCCUAACAUCACUUGCCCUCACCAUUCCACGGUGUGGAAGCUUGAGAGUUUUCAGGUUUCUAAGGGACGCUCACUAUCGUUGGUUUCAACCGGUGGUGUUAAGGGCAACCCUGGUCGGGAAACCAUAGGAAAUUGGUUCAAGAUUGAGAAGUACGGUGGUGCUUAUAAACUGGUUUAUUGUCCCAGCGUGUGCCCUUAUUGCAAGCGUGUUCAGUGUGAGAAUGUUGGAAUGUUUGUUGAUGAGAAAGGGAAUCACCGUUUGGCUCUAAGUGCUGUUCCAUUCCAAGUUAAAUUCGCCAGGGCCUAACCAUAGUUCCUCUUGUUGCGCACCAACAACUAAGUGUUUAACUGUUUCUGAUAAUAAGGUGUUCGUUCCAUGUUAAUUUGUGAGGAUACCCUAAUUAUAGGUGAAAUCCUUGUUAUGAAAUAAAUAAGUACUCAAAUAAUUAAACACAGAAUAUCCACUCCUUUAAUUACAUGCCAAAAAUGCUUUAUUACCACUUUGCUUAAGUCUGCAUUAGGAUGAUCCUGCGACUGUGUGUUGAUUAUUGAUCACUUCAAAACCAUUCAUUCCAUUCACAAUUCACAAGUUAUCUUUGUCCUCCAUUGAUUUUCAUUCAAUAAUUGUUUACAUGUGGAGCUUGAUAUUAAAUAGUAGAAAAUUUAUAGACAUAGGAAGGAAAGUUAUUAAGAAAGUUCAUGUAUAGUAAAGAUGAGUAACAGUACAUUUCCCUGGCAGCCCUAUGUAUAUUAAUGAAUGGUAGCCCUGCAGGAAGAGGGAGUAUGAUUAAUGUUCCUCUCCUCUUACUGGCAAGAGGUUUAUUGUAAGAAAAGUUGUAGGUAUUUGUUCAUUAAUAUUUAUUGUUACGUUGAACACUUAUCAAAGUAAAACAUCUUGUUAAUUAUAGAAGAGGAGCAUGGUAUUGAAUCUAAUUCAUCAAUAGGAAUUGUGUCUAAGUGCACAGUUACUUUUUUGUCUUUUAGAUGUGUCUAAGAUAGGUAUAUAUGUCUUCCCUUGUUAGCUAAAAUAAUUUAGAAAUGAGAAAACUAACUAUAAAAAUGAAAACAAAGACAAAACUUGAAAGGCAGAAUAUACAUCAAAUCUUAAUCAAUCAUAGUUUUUGGGAUUUGAAAGGGGAAUUAUAAUGCAAAACUAAAUAGAGUGGUGAUACUCAGGUUGGAUUGUUUGUGAGGCUAGAUAAAAUUAAUAAUAAAAAGAAAGAGAACAACAUAAAAGAACCUGUAAAAAACUUGCAUGUCAACAUUAAACCUGUGUGUAUUUUAAGAAAGAAUGGUUGUGAUUGGGAUGUGUUGAGAUGACUGUCUUCAUCUGUGUUUGCUUAAGGAUCAUCAUAUCGAAUGUCUUCCAUAACUUUUUAUCAAACCUUCAUAUGUGAUCUUCACAUGAUUCCAUUCCUUUUCUAAAGACACUUCUUCCAUCAUAUCAUCAUCGGUGGACAAAAUGUGAGUGUAGAUGUGUAUAAUCCGAUUCUAACAUCUUCACUUCUCUAUUCAGAUAAUGUAACAAAUAUUGUUUUCUAACUCUCCCAUUAAUUAACAUAAUGUGUCUAACCAAUCCUGUCAUGUUAUCACCCAGUACAAGUGCAAUAAGAUGACAAAGAACUUUGGCAGGGAAUAUAUAUUUCGAAAACUAGAAAGAAAUUGAAGGUUCCUUCCUUUGUUUAUGGAACCACUAUGGAAUACUUCCUCUUAGAAAGAUAAAGUGAGUCCCCCGUCGUGAAACUAUUGUUAAUCAUAAUUUAUCAAAAAUUCAUUAAAUUAGUUACAUAUUAUCAAAUUAAAUUCGUUAAAAACAUGACUAAACUUGAUUUAACAGAAUGCUUGAACAUGUGGAAAUCAAGGAUAUAAAAUUUAUUUCCUUGGAAUAUUUCAAGUUUGGUGGAACCCCUCUAAUUUCCUGAAGAUGCUUGCAAUCAUUCACAUCAAGAGAAAAUAGGUUGUUAAAUUCUUUGAUGCAUUCAAGAAGGAAUGUGACAUUACUUUCCCUAGCCUUAAAUGACUCACUUGAGCUAACAACUUGAAACUUGUUGAAAAAAUAAUCAUUAUUCAAGUUGCAAGAUAAAAGCCAAAACUUAUGUAUCUUUGGAGAUACCAUUGAACCCACUUUUUCUUCACCCUCUUCUGAUUUUACCCAUUGCCAUCCCUUGCCUUUAUAAAUCUAAAAUCAGACGAUUCAGGCAUUAAAAUAGUGCUACUUAACUGAACAAAAUCACAACUCAUCUGUAAUUCUUGGAGUCCAAUAAGAUUAUGAAGUAAAACUGGAAAGUCUUUUAUGGGAGGUUCAAACAAACUAAGUCCAAAGAUGGAUGCGGAUUGUGCUGCAUAUGUCCCAAGAUGCAUAUCUUGACAAAAACAUGGGAAUAACUCAACCCUUUGUAAGGUGAGGUUUGCACCCACUUAUAACUAGACAUGAAUGGUGGUCCGAUAGCGACCUGAUAGCGGGUAGAACAACAUGGCCAACAACAACAAAUAUCGCUAGGAUAGACUCUAAUCAUGGCUCUGAUAUCAUGUUAGAAGUGGACUUUAAGUCUAACUCAACCCCACAAAACCGGCUUGUAAGGUGAGAUUUGUACCCACUUAUAUACUAUGAAUUGGCCUUAUCUCUAGUCAACGUGAGACUUCCAACAUAGUCGAUAGGAAGAGCUUCACCAAAUCUUUUUCGUGUGACCUUUUGCACCCACUUAUAUACUAUGAAUUGGCUUUAUCUCUAGUCAAUGUAAGACUUCCAACAUAGUCAAUAGGAAGAGCUUUACCAAAUCUUUUUCGUGUGACCUUUUGCAAAGUGGGGAUGAAUAUUUUGGGUGCCUUUGCUUUAGGCAAGGGACAUGUGAAGUUUCUUGUAGUUGAAAUCGACUACUUCAACAAAUGGAUAGAGGCCGAGCCCUAGUUACUAUCACGCUCAAUAAGUUCAAUGGUUUGUCUGGAAAAAUAUAGUUUACUGUUAUAGAGUCUCGUAUACCGUCAUCACUAAUAAUGGAUGUCAGUUUAAAGAUAAGGAGUUAGCCAAGUUCUACAUGGGACUCGGGAUAUGGGGACAAGUAUAACGCUUUACAAAUUAACUUAAAAGCCUCGAUGCAACCGCAACAGUUAUGAUGUAGCUGUGUCAAUGCUACAUUCAACUGCCUGAGGAUACCUAUGGUGAAUUCAUCGAACGGGAUCUAGACUCUAAAAAGUGUUUACAUAUACUGGAGAGAUGUAAUAAAUUAUUCAACACCUUUAUUAUGUUAUUAUUUCAAUUUAAAAAGACAAUGACAAAAGAAAGAAACUUGCCAUAUUCUAACAUGUAAUGGAUAUGACAUUUCAUUUUAUGAUUAUUGUAUCUUGCAGCGUAGGAUUUCUUACUUUCCAUAAAUAUAUUUCUGUGACUGGUCACGUCUGUUCUUCCGUGUAACUUUCAUUAAUAUAUAUAUUUUCCAUAAAUAUAUGUAUAAGAUUUUUCUCAUAUAUAUAUCUCCAUUAAGCAUGGAUUUUGAAUACAUUAUUCAACGUUUUAUUCUCCCUAACGUUCUUGAAUACUAAAGUGUCUUUCCACUUUUCCAAAUUUUAAUUCCUGAGAAAAUUUAUUAUAAAACUUAAGACAUAAAAGUGAAGAUAUUUCUUCAUUUUAUUAACUUCUUUUAACAUAACAUGCAUUCACAAUUAACUUGAUAAAAACACUGAAUUAAAACAAAACACACUUAUUAGUUUGUCAGACAUUAAUUUGUUCAGGCAAGCUGAAACUUGACUUUGAAUGGAACAUCGCUUAGAGCCAAACGCUUAUAGGCCUUUUCAUACAGAAAGAGGCCAACAUCUUUGCACAAGUGCUUGGAAUAAGGGAACAGAGUUGGACAAUAAACAAUUUUGUAAGCAUCUUCAAACUUCUCAAUCUUGAACCAGUUUCGUAUGGUUCCCCAACCAGGGUUUCCCACAGACCCACCAGUGGUCACAAACCACUGUCCUUUAGCAACAUCAAAGUGGUCCAGUUUCCACACUGGCGAAUACUUAGCACAUCUGGUAUGAUCGGUGGAGAACAUGAUGUUCAAAUCAGUGGACACACGAACAGUACCUUUCUUAGGGUCAACGGGUGAGAAUGACAAUGGCAAGCCACGAGACCCUCCCACAAACACCACAUCAAGAGGGCAUGAUGAUUCACCAAGGCUGGCAAGUGAAAGGCCUCCACUUUUGAAGCAUAUUCCGUACCUUGAGCAUCCUAUAUAGGGCGUAACGGGAACAAUGUAAUAUCUGAGACCAACUCGGAGCUUUUUCCCUGAUGUAUCAACCACUUGCUCAGGUGAUGCAUCUGCUGCUCCAAGUAGUGGUUGAGAGCUCAAGGCAAAGAGAAGCACGAAUGCCAGCAACAGGUUCUUCAUUACUGAUAUAUCUGUAUAAUUCAGGUAGUUAUGUUCUUGUAUUCUUUUUCGUCACUGAUGGAUGGACCAUAAUAGAGAUGAGAAGUACGAAUUUAUAGAUGUCUUUAUUUAAUACUAAUUCCACGAUUUAGAUGCUUGAUUGUUAGUGAAAUAGAAACAGUAUAUAUUUUCUUUCAAUAUUUGAACAAUACCAUUGGCCAUAUCGAGUUCAUAUCUGAAAUCUUGUAGCCAUGUUUAUCUAUGUGUAAACAGGCUUGCCAUAUCAGUGUUCUUUGUGGUCUUAGCAUUUUAUUUGUAACUAGCUGGAAUCCAUUUUUGCGUCUCUCUAGGUGAUGGAUAGGUUUUUAGAACGAUAAAUCUUUUCUUAUUUAUUCCAUGGUAUUUCGCUCAUGUAAUUCAUGACUACAUUAAUUGACUUUUUCAACAUGCAGCAAUCUGUGGGUCAAUGUUUAAACAUGCAGCAAAGGUCAAUGAUUGAAAAACCUUUAUCUUUCUGCUGGCUUUGUAAUUAGACGACUUUGACUUCGAAUUUAAUUCAAUGUGAAUUACAAAUCUAGCUACAGUCUUAUGUGACAUUAAAGUAGUUCAAAGUUUCAUGCAGUAUUCUUAAAUAUAUAGUUUCAAAGAUAUCCAAAAUAAGAAGAAAAGAAGGAAUUAUUUGAGCUAAUAUACAUAAUUAAUAUCAUUUAAUCCAUAUCAAUAUGAUAUGUCAGUGAUAAACAAAGAAACGAGUAAGAAAUUUAUAUUUUUUUUUCUUCUUCAAAAUGUUGUACAUUUUCAUAUACAUAGAAAAAGGGUUAAGGUUUAUGUUUAAAAGAAAAAGUCCAUCUCAGAAGCAAGCUCAUUGAUGCUGACUGAUUGCGUAUACAGUCCUCAGAUAUUUAGACAGCGCUAUCAGAUUUGAUAGCAACUAUUAGAUAUUAUAAUUGCUACAAUACAAUCUCGUGGAAAGGAAUACAGGCAAAUGAUAUUUGUUUUGGAGAAAGAAAAAACAUAUUAAAGCAGGCCAUGGCUUAAACAGGAUUAGACUUUCCGGCAGAAAAUAUUCAAAUAAUAGCAACUAAACUUAAACUUGCUCAUUUUUAGUGAAUUUCUUAUGUUAAUGAAAAUAUGGGUCCAACAGUAUUAAGCAAAUCAAAGAUCUUAUUUACAUAAUUGUUGAUGUUUAUCCUGAACACCAUGCAUAAGAACCAACCUAUAAAUUCAUGCAAAACCAUCUUCCUAAACUCCAUCCAUCAACCAAAAUACAAAUUACUCAAACCAAUAAAAAAUAAACAGUGAUGAAGACAACAUUGUUCGCUUUUGUUCUUCUCUUUGCCCUGAUCUCACAACCACUUCUGGGAGCAGCUGAAGCUUCACCUGAUGAAGUAGUUGACACAUCAGGCAAGCUGCUACGUGCUGGUGUGAACUACAACAUUCUUCUAUCCAUGCCUUACAGUAAAUGUAGAAGUCCACAAGGCCUUGGCCUCUCAAAGAUUGGUAAAUCAUGCCCUCUGGAUGUUGUGGUUGUGGAUAGAUAUCAUAGUUUGCCACUAAGGUUUAUACCUGUUAACCCGAAAAAGGGUGUUAUACGUGUCUCCACAGACCUAAACAUCAUGUUCCCUCCUAACAUCACUUGCCCUCACCAUUCCACAGUGUGGAAGCUUGAUAACUUUCAGGUUUCUAAGGGACGCUUUGUGUCAACUGGUGGUGUUAAGGGCAAUCCUGGGAGGGAAACCAUUGGAAAUUGGUUCAAGAUUGAGAAGUAUGGUGGUGCUUAUAAACUAGUUUAUUGUCCCAGUUUGUGCCCUUCUUGCAAGGAUGUUGUGUGCGAGAAUGUUGGGAUGUUGGCUGAUGAGAAAGGGAACCAUCGUUUGGCUCUAAGUGCUGUUCCCUUCCAAGUUAAAUUCCUCAAGGCCUAACCACAGUUCCUCUUGUUGUGCACCACCAACUAUGAAUGUUUUCAGUGUGUUUCUGAUAAUGAUGUGUGUUCUUUACAUCUUAUUUUGUGAGGAUAUAUACCCUAAUUUAUAGGGGAAUUCCUUGUUAUGAUGAAUAAGUAUUGAAAUAAAAUGGAC
This 6828-nucleotide long non-coding RNA is filed under the name Vigna radiata. RNAcentral's name for it is "long non-coding RNA (VRAD_LNC000265)". The record is from RNAcentral. Lineage: Eukaryota; Viridiplantae; Streptophyta; Magnoliopsida; Fabales; Fabaceae.